GAUGAACGCUAGCUACAGGCUUAACACAUGCAAGUCGCGGGGCAGCAUGGGGGUUGCUUGCAAUCCCCGAUGGCGACCGGCGCACGGGUGAGUAACGCGUAUUCAACCUGCCCUUCACCACGGGAUAACCCGGCGAAAGUCGGACUAAUACCGUAUGUUGUCCAUUGACGGCAUCCGAUUUGGACGAAAGGCUUGGCGGUGAGGGAUGGGGAUGCGUCCGAUUAGCCAGACGGCGGGGUAACGGCCCACCGUGGCUACGAUCGGUAGGGGUUCUGAGAGGAAGGUCCCCCACACUGGAACUGAGACACGGUCCAGACUCCUACGGGAGGCAGCAGCGAGGAAUAUUGGUCAAUGGGCGUAAGCCUGAACCAGCCAAGUAGCGUGCAGGAUGACGGCCCUAUGGGUUGUAAACUGCUUUUAUGCGGGGAUAAAGUGGCCCACGUGUGGGCUUUUGCAGGUACCGCAUGAAUAAGGACCGGCUAAUUCCGU
Molecule: ribosomal RNA, 489 nt
Filed under: uncultured bacterium
Lineage: Bacteria
Description: partial 16S ribosomal RNA
Rfam family: Bacterial small subunit ribosomal RNA
Source: RNAcentral